Molecule: ribosomal RNA, 877 nt
Filed under: Phomopsis sp. F126
Lineage: Eukaryota; Fungi; Ascomycota; Sordariomycetes; Diaporthales; Diaporthaceae
Description: eukaryotic LSU rRNA
Rfam family: 5.8S ribosomal RNA (bases 525-678)
Source: RNAcentral
CGCGACUCAAAGAAAGGAGGACUGCUGAAAUGCUAGUCCUGCAGAAGCAGGCAACACUUAUCAAAUUGCGGGAACACCCUAAAGACCUCAACACCAAGCGUCAUGGGAAACCAUGGCGUGGCCGAGCUAUAGCCCUGGGUAUGGUAACAGCUUGAAGGUAUGAAGCCUUUCGCAAGGAGGAGAAAAUGGGCAAUCCGCUUCCCAAGUCGUAACUUGCUCGAAACCGAGUGCCCAUGGAUGCUGUUCACAGAGCCAAAUGGUAGCGGGGGACUUCAACUUUCUUCUUGUUUUUUUUUUUUGAAGUAAAAGUCGUAACAAGGUCUCCGUUGGUGAACCAGCGGAGGGAUCAUUACUGAGUUUACGCUCUAUAACCCUUUGUGAACAUACCUAUAACUGUUGCUUCGGCGGGUAGGGUCUCCGCGACCCUCCCGGCCUCCCGCCUCCGGGCGGGUCGGCGCCCGCCGGAGGAUAACCAAACUCUGAUUUAACGACGUUUCUUCUGAGUGGUACAAGCAAAUAAUCAAAACUUUUAACAACGGAUCUCUUGGUUCUGGCAUCGAUGAAGAACGCAGCGAAAUGCGAUAAGUAAUGUGAAUUGCAGAAUUCAGUGAAUCAUCGAAUCUUUGAACGCACAUUGCGCCCGCCAGCAUUCUGGCGGGCAUGCCUGUUCGAGCGUCAUUUCAACCCUCAAGCUCUGCUUGGUGUUGGGGCCCUACAGCUGAUGUAGGCCCUCAAAGGUAGUGGCGGACCCUCCCGGAGCCUCCUUUGCGUAGUAACUUUACGUCUCGCACUGGGAUCCGGAGGGACUCUUGCCGUAAAACCCCCCAAUUUUCCAAAGGUUGACCUCGGAUCAGGUAGGAAUACCCGCUGAACUUAA